AAACCAGCACCUCAAGUGGUCAGGAUGAUUAUUGGGCCUAAAGCAUCCGUAGCCGGCUCUGUAAGUUUUCGGUUAAAUCUGUACGCUCAACGUACAGGCUGCCGGGAAUACUGCAGAGCUAGGGAGUGGGAGAGGUAGACGGUACUCGGGAGGAAGGGGUAAAAUCCUUUGAUCUCUCGAUGACCACCUGUGGCGAAGGCGGUCUACCAGAACACGUUCGACGGUGAGGGAUGAAAGCUGGGGGAGCAAACCGGAUUAGAAACCCCAGUAGUCC
RNAcentral lists this ribosomal RNA (274 nucleotides) under uncultured bacterium. Its description in RNAcentral is "partial 16S ribosomal RNA". It matches the Rfam family "Archaeal small subunit ribosomal RNA", at positions 473 to 747 of the family's 1478-position model. The record is from RNAcentral.